AACGAACGCUGGCGGCAUGCCUAACACAUGCAAGUCGAACGAGACCUUCGGGUCUAGUGGCGCACGGGUGCGUAACGCGUGGGAACCUGCCCUUAGGUUCGAAAUAACUCCCCGAAAGGGGUGCUAAUACCGGAUAAUGUCUUCGGACCAAAGAUUUAUCGCCUUUGGAUGGGCCCGCGUUGGAUUAGCUAGUUGGUAGGGUAAAAGCCUACCAAGGCGACGAUCCAUAGCUGGUCUGAGAGGAUGAUCAGCCACACUGGGACUGAGACACGGCCCAGACUCCUACGGGAGGCAGCAGUGGGGAAUAUUGGACAAUGGGCGAAAGCCUGAUCCAGCAUGCCGCGUGAGUGAUGAAGGCCUUAGGGUUGUAAAGCUCUUUUACCCGGGAUGAUAAUGACAGUACCGGGAGAAUAAGCUCCGGCUAACUCCGUG
RNAcentral lists this ribosomal RNA (432 nucleotides) under uncultured bacterium. RNAcentral describes it as "partial 16S ribosomal RNA". It matches the Rfam family "Bacterial small subunit ribosomal RNA", at positions 29 to 507 of the family's 1533-position model. The record is from RNAcentral.